UUUAUACUCCCUCCGUCCCAAAAUUCUUGUCUUAAAUUUACCUAGAUACGGAUGUAUCUAACACUAAAACGUGAAUAGAUACAUCCAUAUGUAGAUAAAUCUAAGACAAGAUGUUUGGGACAGAGGGAGUAUUAU
Triticum aestivum (bread wheat) is the source of this 135-nucleotide non-coding RNA. The record is from Rfam. Lineage: Eukaryota; Viridiplantae; Streptophyta; Magnoliopsida; Poales; Poaceae.